UACGUAGGGUGCGAGCGUUAAUCGGAAUUACUGGGCGUAAAGCGUGCGCAGGCGGUUUUGUAAGCCAGAUGUGAAAUCCCCGGGCUUAACCUGGGAACUGCAUUGGUGACUGCAUUGCUGGAGUAUGGCAGAGGGGGGUGGAAUUCCACGUGUAGCAGUGAAAUGCGUAGAGAUGUGGAGGAACACCGAUGGCGAAGGCAGCCCCCUGGGCCAAUACUGACGCUCAUGCACGAAAGCGUGGGGAGCAAACAGG
Molecule: ribosomal RNA, 253 nt
Filed under: uncultured bacterium
Lineage: Bacteria
Description: partial 16S ribosomal RNA
Rfam family: Bacterial small subunit ribosomal RNA
Source: RNAcentral